This is a long non-coding RNA of Numida meleagris (helmeted guineafowl), 3510 nucleotides long. RefSeq lists it as uncharacterized. The transcript is spliced from 3 exons. The record is from RefSeq and is a predicted model, not a curated record. NCBI's taxonomy places the organism in Eukaryota, Metazoa, Chordata, Aves, Galliformes, Numididae.
CAGAGGUCAUCCAGAGAAAAUAUAUGAUAUUUUCAGCAGAUGUCUACAUCCUUAUUUCUUCAGGUACUGUAAAAUGAAACAGCAUACAACUCAUGAUCAUUCUGCCCUACCAACACGUAUCUUCAUUUGGAAAGACACCCAUUUUCACUGCAGUGCCAAUACAACAGGAAAAAGUGUGCAUUUUGGGCAAAGCAUGUGGUUGUCCCAGAAAACUUCUAAAAUUGCAUGGACUCUGUUCUGUUUCAUACUGUUUAGGUUUCCUUAGUUUGUAGCUAUGCAGUAAUAGGUUGUAUUCCACCUUCAGACUGGGAGAUGUCCUACAGAAAUGUCUUUUAAUAUCCUCCAUGGUUGGAUUUCAUGUGUAUGAUCGAUGUGCACUCUUGCUUACUGUCAAAGUUUAUUCCUCGCAGAUAACAAACACUCUGGCUGCAGGCAGAUUCAGCCCAGUGCUAUGGAUAUUUCCAGCAGCUGAGAAUGAACUGGCAGGUCCGGAGAGAGAAGACGACACCCAGCUGACAGGGCAGGGCAGAACAGCAGCUGGGUGAGGCUGGGGCUGGCCUCAGCAGGUCAGACCACUUCCCACCAGCUCUGUGACGCAGCCAGCGUGCUGCGCCUGGCGGCCUGUGCUUCUGAGACCUCUGCUCUUCUGCCUCCUUCUCUCCUACCUCCACACACUGCUGCCAUUUCUUAAAUAUGGUUUUACAGUGGCAGCAUGUACGGCCCAUCAGGGCUUCAGCCUGAUGGAACAGUGUGUCUGUUUUGUCUAUUGGGAAACCAGCUGCAAUUGGCAGUCCCAGGCCUCCUCCUGCAGGUGCCACUCCUGCUAACAAAACGUUGCCAGUUAUUCCCAGCAUGGAAGCAUGCAAACACCAAAUCUGUGACAUGGAGAAAAACAAAGCAGCAGGCAGCUCCUUGAACUCCUUUGCCUCUUUGUCCUGUGAGAAGCCCGGAAAGACUGAAAUACACUGUUGGGAAACUUCACGCUGAGUGUCUGCUCAGUGAAGAUCCAAGGCACUCCUCUACUGCAGCUGUAAAGCGUGGCAGGUUCUUCUUUUUGGAGCCUCUGAUUGAAUUAGCUGAUUCCUCAAACAAAAUGGAAGAGAUUUUUCUCUGACCCGGCUAAGGAAGAAACUGUAAAUCUGGCAGCCAUCAUUCACCUUCAUCUGCAGCACUUUGCCAGAGCAACAGAUUGCAGAUACAUGGACUUCUCUACCUGCAGGCUAUGCACACUAGUACAGCGGUGUGAUAAGAGCUUCUCCGUGCCCUUCUCUCAAGUGUCCCUGAUGUUAGGAGCUUCGGAAUGCUUGUUGUGCCAGCAGACAGAGCAGAUCAUCCAUCUGCGCACACUAUGUGCACGUGUUAUCCCAGCUACCCCCUGGUGCUUGUGCCAGACUCAGGCACUCCCUGCAGCCUGAGACUUGGACAGCCAUGUGCGAGCCUCCGUUCUGAAGCUGAUCUGCUGAAGGACUUCCUUUCAAGUGAGACAGUUCUAGUUACUUUCUUUACAUUAAAUUGCAGGGAAGAAAAGCUCCCACAACACUGGAAGCUCAGCAGUUUAUUUAUUGGUGUCAUGCGCGGGCAGGCUGUGUUCACACCUCCAUUUCCUACCUGUGGGAAUGUCACUGUGCUAUCCCUUCUCAGUUUUCUCUUGGCAGGAGCCACCCUGCUUGCAGAGUGAUGCUGGGCCUAGAGGGUGGUAGUUGUUGCCCCACAGUUCUGCUGGGACAUUGUUGCUGCCUUCUUGUCAAGGGAGUCCCAGGCAUGGUGCUGCUGUGCUGUGCUGGCUUUGCACAUUCUUGGAUCCCGUGUUGUUUUGAGUCGGGCUCUUGAUCCCUGGACAUCAGGUCAAGUGACAACAGCAAAACAUUUGUUCACCUUUCUGUAGCUGAGAUAGUGGAGGCUCGGAGAGUUCUGGACAAGCUGCAGGUGUCCCUUUCCUUUUGGGCAGGGUGACUCCUUGUGCUUGCUGAAGUAGUAGAUCUGGACCCUAAAUGUAAGUGCAUUGAUGGUUUCUAAAGGUGACUAUUCUAAUUGCUUACGUUGCAUUUCAGUGGGGGAAAGAAAAGCUCACAAAGCACAUGAAACUCAGCAGUUUUUGGUUCAUUUGUGUCAUGUGCAGGCUGGAUGUGCUCACACCUCCCUUUCCUAAUGGUUUGAAUGUCACUGUGCCUCACUCCAUUUCAGGUUCUACUUGGUUGGGAGCCAACCCGCUUGCAAGGAGGUGGGUCUGUGGAGUGGUAGUUGACACCCCCCAGUUCUGCUGGGACCCUGUUACUGCCUUCUUGUCAAGGGAAUCCCAGGCAUGGUGCUGCUGUGCUGUGACGGCUUUGCUGGAGGUGUUUUCAUGGGACAGUGGGUGGCGAGGUGUCUCCUUGCAUUGGAGGCUGUGCUCACACCUCCGUUUCCUACCUGUGGGAAUGUGACUGUGCUGUCCCAUCUCAGUUUCCUUUCGGUCAGAGCCAGCCCACUUGUAGAGAGAUUUUGUGCCUAGGGUGUGGUAGUUGUGCCAGUUCUGCUGGGACGUUGUUGCUGCCUUCUUGUCAAGGGAAUCCCAGGCGUGGUGCUGCUGUGCUGUGCCGCCUUUGCACAUCCUUGGAUCCCGUGUUGUUUUGAGCUGGGCUUUUGAUCUUUGGGUUUCUGGUCUUCCGACAUGCCACAGGAAGUGGCAGCAUUCAUUUAUACUUUGGUGUUCUGUGCCUAUUCAAGUGUUCCUUGAGCUGUGUGGCCAAUAAAGUCAGCAAGCUGCUCACAGUCCAUGGAUUUCUGUUUUCAUAGGGCUGGGGAAAAUGGGUGGUGAGGUGUCUCCUUGCAUUAGGAGGCAGCACUUGAGUGGCAGACAAUUCUUGCAGUUAAAUAUAGCUGAUAUGGGUGUGGGAGGUGUUGUUGCUAUUGAAAGAAGGAGGAUGUUUGGAGGACUGGCUGUGGGCUCCUUUCCUUGGUCUUCUACCCCCUUGGACAUUUUACCUGCCUGUGAAAAAGGCUUGAACACAGAGACAGCCCUCUACAUUCCCUUCUAUUUGCUGGUCUUGGGCACUGAUGUCUUGUAUUCUAAAGAUUUUGUCCUGAAUGUUCAAAUGUUUCUUCUACAAUUGUUUAGUAUCCCUUUCAUUCCUUAGUGAGCUGUUUUUUGGUAUAGUGCAGAAAUGUUUGCAGUAACUCUUCUGAAAGUUUUAUGUUAUCAGGAGGCCACAGUGGUGGUAGUGUAUCAAGGAAGUAGAUGUUUAUUAGUGUUUCCACCUCUUGAUAUUGUUUUACUCUUUGUAAUUAACCAUUUCAUUUGAAACUUAAUGUAUUGUGUUGCAAUUAACCAUAGUGAGGUGUUCUAAAUACUGUUGGUUAUGUAGCAAUAGACUGCUAAUAAUGAACAAACAGUUCUUUCUCUAUAUGAAAUUUCAGUAUUUACUUAACUUUUCCAAGAGCUCUUCAGUCAUUAGAAGAAUUUCUGACAUUGGUUCUGAUUUUUUGAAAAAAAUAUUCCAUCCAUAUCAACAGGAUUUAAAAGAUGAUAAA